Molecule: ribosomal RNA, 447 nt
Filed under: uncultured Glomeromycotina
Lineage: Eukaryota; Fungi; Glomeromycota
Description: SSU rRNA
Rfam family: Eukaryotic small subunit ribosomal RNA
Source: RNAcentral
AGCAGCCGCGGUAAUUCCAGCUCCAAUAGCGUAUAUUAAAGUUGUUGCAGUUAAAAAGCUCGUAGUUGAAUUUCGGGAUCAGUACGCUGGUCGUGCCUUCGGUAUGAACUGGUGUCACUGGUUCCUCCCUUCUGAAGAACCGUCAUGCCAUUCAGUUGGUGUGGCGGGGAAUCAGGACUGUUACUUUGAAAAAAUUGAGUGUUUAAAGCAGGCUCGCGCUUGAAUACAUUAGCAUGGAAUAAUGAAAUAGGACGUUUGACCCUAUUUUGUUGGUUUCUAGGAUCGACGUAAUGAUUAAUAGGGAUAGUUGGGGGCAUUAGUAUUCAAUUGUCAGAGGUGAAAUUCUUGGAUUUAUUGAAGACUAACUACUGCGAAAGCAUUUGCCAAGGAUGUUUUCAUUAAUCAAGAACGAAAGUUAGGGAUCGAAGACGAUCAGAUACCGUCGUA